UGAUUGGCCCCCUCCCUUAUCACUCACCAAUUCAAAACAAAUUAUUGGCUAAUGAUACGGUUGGCCCCUCUUAUAUUCCCCCACCUGUUGGGAGUUCUCUUGCUAUAUGUGUAUUUGUUUGCAUUCCAGUUACAUAACUCGAAAGUCUUUUCUCCGCUCAGUAUAAAGUGAUCGACACAAUGGCACAACGACCACGUUUUCAAAGCGCAACGGACAUAAAAAAAAAAAAGUUUUAAAAUAGCGAGGUGCGCCUUUAUUCCUCAGCUUCUUCACAGAGACAGACAUCCACCUGACCUGUCGCACCCGAACUGCGGAGGUGAGAAUAAAGACAUCUGCGGCUCGAAGUGCUUUUUAAAGAAAUAAACGGAAUAAAAGAUCAGCCAAGGUUAAUUGAGGCGGGGAAAAUGGUGGUGUUCAGAAUGGACCGCACGUCGACACGAAGUACAUUCUCGUGCUCCUUUUGACUCUUCAGGUCAUCCGAGUUUUCAUUCAUCCCACAAAUAUUUCCUUUUAAAUAAAUCAAAAUCUGAUAAUCCUUAUGUAUACCAGGGGGGUGUCUUCGCAGAAAUACCUGCAGAGUGAAGUCGCACAUUCUUCCGGCAAACAUGGAAUAAUUGCACGACAGUUUCAACACACUAGGACUUCCAUGAACGGGUUACAGGGGGUCCGGAGCCUAUGUUGGAGGCUGCGGGCGCAAGGCAGGGAAGAACCCAGGAUGGGGGGCCAACUUCCCACCUAUGGACAAGUUCGGCAGCCCUGUUCUUGAGAAACCCAAAAAUGAGAAGGUAAAUUAGGAUGCAUGAAAGGCAGCCUUGACGUGAGAAGCUGAGAAAGCCUGGGUCAGUUCAGGGAGCGGCCGGUGAGUCCGGCGAUGCUCCAACAUGACUCAGCCUCUCCUCCCAAACUGGCACAUCCAAAGAGAAGAGGGAAGGCCAGCGUCAGCCGCCACACGCCCAAGCAGAGGUAAACAUCUGCUGAGCGGCCCUCCCGGUCUCCUCGGCCAUCUGCUCCUCCGUCGCUGCACGUUAAUAAGCUGGUGGGGGCCCUCUGACGUUCUGCCCUAGGAGGAUACGGGAUAGACUUGGAAAAAUAAAAGAAAAAGUUUGAGUCCUUGUGCUUGAUUUUGCCCAUGAAGUGAUACAUGUGUCUCAGUGUAAUAAAUAAUAGGCAUGAAACCACUGGAUAAGAUUUCCAUGUCUGGCAGACUGCAGAGGCUUCAGACCGCAAAAUCCCAGCAAUGUUGCUGGUCCAGCCUCCCGCCGGCCCAGAGGAGAGACGCGCCAUGGCAAUAGCCCCAUCCCUCAGGAAACUAAAUGCCAGGUUGUUGAUGUUCUUGCUCAGGAGGGCGACGGCUUGGCUGCCACCAGGAAGACGGCAGGAAGGACUUUUCUGUCUUCGUGGUGGAGGUCAGUGGAGCAGGCAGAGUGGGGAAGACUUGUCGCCGAUUCCAGUACAGGCCCAUGGCUAUACUGCUUCUUGUUAAGCGCCGUGUGACUUGGGAAUUUUGAUUCGGUUUGCGCUGGUCACUCUUUGUCUGAAGUGGACUAGCCUGUACUGGAAGGCCGUGAUUCCUGGUGAAUGCCGGGCUUGAACAGUCUGAGGGCCGAGACAUCGGCCGGUUUGUUAUAGUCAUGAAGUUUCUCAGCUGGUGGGUUUGAUUUCACUGGCGUCGCUGGGAGUGUGGUUCAGAAAAGCUCCUGCAGUUCCACAAGUGAUCAUGGGUUCCAACCCCAAGGAAUACACUUAUAUUGUAACCCUUCCCUCUAAUGUAAAUGCCUUCAGAUAAAAGUUCGAUGUAGAAAAUAAUCAACAACUUUCCAAUUCUUACAGUGAAUCUGGCUUGUGACUUACUAUACUGAGGUCAAUCCAGUUGAGAACCACUAUAAUAAUCCAUGUUAUCAAUCAGGAGUCAUAAAUCUGUUCGGACGCAUCCGGAUUUUCUGUGUACGCUAUACAUUCCUUCUUUCUUUCUUUUUUCUCAUGCACAUUUGGACACGGCUGAGUAUUUCGAGAUGCGGCAGCGUUCGGCUUUACCGAGGCAUUUCUCGUCACCGGGAGCGAUGCGUCGUCCCCGCGGCGACCGGAGUGACUUCAGCACAGGCUGAGUGGAGUCCCGCUUCCCCCUCCCUGCCGUGUGUGUUUUACCCGGAGUGAGGGCCAGCACUGGCGUAUGGGACAGUCCAAAGGAGUCAAUCAGAGCAGCGGUGUUUCUCUUGGACGUGGCCCCCAGUCUUGGCAGCACACAGACCCAAUUUAGCAGCGCUCUGGCGGACAGGCUGCCAAAGGAGUGUGCUAGCACUGGAGCUAGCCAAGGCUAACUCUGCGAGGCCAAUGGUGAGUAAUCAGCCCCCACGCCUGCAGAGAAAAUAUGCUGCUCAAGAUACUGGAGAACUGAACGUUUGGAUGAAAGUAACGGGGGAAAUGAAUAGAUAUUGAGAAUUAUAAUGAUGGUCAGAGGUGAAUGAAGACCCUAUUUGGGAUGUUUCCGCUACUUUUUUGCCCCCAUGGAAAGUUAUUUUUCCAAAUCCAUUUAGCAAUUUAUCCUGUGAAUGUGAAUCCUAUGGGAAUGUGAAUCCCACGUUUCUAGCUGAUUUCCACUAGUGGUCACAUCCUAGAAUUGCUCCGAUAAUGAUCAUGCUAAAAUUUCAAAUGGCUACUGUGUUCAUCAUUUCUUAUCAAUGGUUAACUUUGGAUCCACGUCAUCUUCGUUUCUCCUUUUUUCCUUCUUUUGGAGAAUUAAAAUCCCAUCACUGCAUGAGCAGGUUUUCCCUUUUUGUAACACAGGUGAUGACAGGGUGCUCGCAAUCCUUCUCGUCAUCCAAACGGAAUCCGGCAAACGUCCGUGCGGAGUCGUGGGAGGGCCUGCUGUUUGUUUGUUUGUCUUUGCACUCUUCUGUGCACCCACAGAAACCGCAUACUGCCAGUUGGGCAUGACGCGCACCUUCCCCCCCCCCGCGCUUUCGUGCCAACGCUGAGGCCGGUGGAGACGUCGCCUGGGUGCUUUCUCGCGUUUUCGGGCAAGUGGAUUCACUUCAUUUAGCGUCAAUAGAGUCUUCAAAGAGCUGAGGAGACUGCGAUGGGUGUCUGACAGGCAAGGCACCUUGCAAGGGGCUGUUUUGAACAUUCCUUGGGGCUGGGCUUGGCACACACGCUCCAAUCGUGUGUGUGUGUGUGUGUCGGUGUAUUUUUUCUGACUUGUGUUAAGCUGUAUUUUCAAACGGAAGAUGUAAACAUUUUGCUCGCAUGAUCGCAUGUUGUAAUUUGAGCCCUGAGCAAAUGACACAACAUUCGAUCCGCACCCUUUCAUAAGCUGAAGACUAGCGUGUUAAGGAUUAGUGAGAAGGCUUGUUUUUUUAACGUUCUUUUUAUUUCUAUUUUUUUUUAUCCAGCCUCCGAGGUUGUCACGCAUCUGUAAGCUGAGAAAAGUUUCCUCGGUAAUCAAUCACCAAAGCCGGCCGUCAUUGGUGGGGUUAGCAGAGAGCUAAAGGGUACCCGUGUGGUCAAGGUUACUCUCCUUAACCCUACUAUGGCUUCCGGAAGGCUUCCCGCCAUUCUUACCGAGCAUUCGCUCCAUCGCGCACACGCAAGCACAUGCCCCCGAGCGUUUUCCGUGGGGAAUCCGAGAGCUGAUGCUAAUAGCUACCAGUUUGUCAUCAUCAACUUUUUCCUAAGUCAAGAUUCUACUUUCUUGAAGCAAUUUCGUAGCGACCUGAAGAGAAUGAUGUUUCUUUCGGUUUGCAGAGGAUCUCCGGCAUUCCUUUGGGAAACCGUCAUUGAGAGUUUGCGAGAAACUUGCUUGCAAGUCACAAGACUCAAUAUUCCCAUUUAGAAUUUUACAAAUUACCGUGCUUCAUGAAGCUGCC
Long non-coding RNA from Brienomyrus brachyistius, 3863 nucleotides. RefSeq lists it as uncharacterized. The record is from RefSeq and is a predicted model, not a curated record. NCBI's taxonomy places the organism in Eukaryota, Metazoa, Chordata, Actinopteri, Osteoglossiformes, Mormyridae. The transcript has 5 exons.